AAUUCUCAAGUCUUUCAAGUUUUUUCUUGGAUGAUUUGGAUUCUGAGGGUUAUGUUGGCUCUAGUAGUCAGACUCCCUUUAAAAAUAUUAGUGGCUUGUCGAUCCCCAUUAUUUGGUGUGAUAGCUCUAUCUACAUCAUAUGUAAUGGCAAGGUCAUGUAAUGGCAAUUUAGCUGCUCUCUAAUAGUCUAGAAAUAGACAAUUUGAACC
RNAcentral lists this unclassified non-coding RNA (209 nucleotides) under uncultured Rectipilus. Its description in RNAcentral is "sequence contains ITS2". Lineage: Eukaryota; Fungi; Basidiomycota; Agaricomycetes; Agaricales; Cyphellaceae. The record is from RNAcentral.